CUAAGCAACCUCACUACCAGCUUUUCUGCUUUAAUAUUGUUAAGUGUCACAGCCCCCUGUUUUCGGUCUGAUGAAAUUGGAAACAAACAAUACCCUGAACCAACACUAGACUUUUACUUAUAUUAAGAUAAACUGCUUUGGAUGGUGCUCUGAAUGUGUGCCUAAAGCAAGACUUUGAAUGCAGGAGUCACUUGCAAUUGCACGCAGAGGAGGGAAAAGCCACCACUUACUUGGGUUUCCACAUCCAUACUCCCAGAGGUGCAUGUCUUUCUAUUUUGCAUAUUUGGGGGGGGGCAAUAACUAUCCAGCAUGACCACAGCCACUUCUUACUUUAAGAUGCAAAAAAGUAAAUUUUCACAGUUGUUUACAGACUCCCCUCUUUCCUAACUGGAGUCUCUAUUACAAUGAGAAUAGCUAGAUACAAUAAUUUUCUCCCCCAUACCAUUACAGACCGUUUACCUACAGAAGAGGAGCAUUCAAGAUCAUCAUUCUUAAAGUCAAUUAUAAAAAAAAAGAAAAGUAAUGAUUUCCAAUAUGGCUUAGAAUUAUUCUAAAUUGUAGUUUUACAUGGCUUUUAAUAGUAUAUAUUUAUACUAAGUAGAUGUAUGACUUAUCAGAUUCCUCCCCUGAGAUUUAUCUCUAUUGUUAAUGUCCCUUUUUUCUUCCUCUUCCCACUUUCCCCUCCUUUUUAUUAAAAAAAAAAAAAAAGAAUGGAAUCCAGCUUUCUCCAGAAGUUUGCUCUUCAGCCUCUUCUCUCCCACGCGGUGGAAGAAGGACCCCAUUGCAAGGAGUGCUUCCAGGCAGGACCUCAAUGGUGAGCCCAGUUAA
This 828-nucleotide long non-coding RNA is filed under the name Suricata suricatta (meerkat). RNAcentral describes it as "lncRNA (ENSSSUG00005003114.1)". The record is from RNAcentral. Lineage: Eukaryota; Metazoa; Chordata; Mammalia; Carnivora; Herpestidae.